CGUACCUAUUUUUGUUUCAUUUGUCUCUGUCCCUGGAAUACCAACUCCCCCAGGCCAGGAUUUUUUGUUUCCUGUCCACUGCUGGAUUCUCAGCACCUAGAACUGGUCCUGGCACCUCAUAGGUGCUCAGGACAAUGCAGGCGGGUGGAAGAGAGCGAGAAUCCUGCAAGCAGUCCUGGUCCUGCCUGAGCAGCGGGCAGGCCUGCCGGUCUGUUCCCAGUUAGGCGCUGAGAGGGUGGGCGGGGGGCGCAUUCAGGCUGCGCUUCUCCCCGAGGCCGCUAGGGGCCGCUGCCCCGCUGCUCUGCGGCCGCCAGGUGAGGAGGCCCGGUCCCUGCCCCCCAGGUACGCGGAGGCGUGGCGGGCGGGGGUCCAGGGGAGCAGGGUGAAGAGCACAGAGAUGUAGACGGUGUAGGGGGAGGGAGAGAAGUGGGGGGUGAAGGGAGAGAGCUGAGCGCGUCUGAAGUGGGAGCUGCGGAAAGGGAGGGGAAAGAAAGCCCUGGAGGCGCUGGAGGCCUGAGAAGGCAGGUGCUACCGUCAGCCCUUCUCCAGUGGGCUGCCGAGGCAGAGGCGCUGUCAGCCAGCAUCCUCACAGGAAGCAGACAACCAGGAUGGGUCAACCGAGCCGUCCAGGGAAGGGACACGUUUGCAAAAAGAUUCUGGAACAUCCUGCUGAGACACCAAGUGAUCUGUCUGGCUGGGUGAUGCUGUCCAAAAGCCGGGUG
This is a long non-coding RNA of Pipistrellus kuhlii (Kuhl's pipistrelle), 722 nucleotides long. RefSeq lists it as uncharacterized. The transcript is spliced from 3 exons. NCBI's taxonomy places the organism in Eukaryota, Metazoa, Chordata, Mammalia, Chiroptera, Vespertilionidae. The record is from RefSeq and is a predicted model, not a curated record.